Molecule: long non-coding RNA, 162 nt
Organism: Dermochelys coriacea (leatherback sea turtle)
Lineage: Eukaryota; Metazoa; Chordata; Testudines; Dermochelyidae
Exons: 3
Source: RefSeq, a predicted model, not a curated record
ACAGAGAGCAGUGUACUGUGGGUAGCUAUCCCACUGAGCAGCUGGCCGCAGGGUGCUUUGGAAAGGGUUUGCAAUGCCUUAUGGGGCAGGUACAGUGUCGCAUGAUGCAGGUUUCUCAAUCCCAUCUUUCCAUGGGCAUCCUACUCUUUUUCUUGUCUCUUU